This is a long non-coding RNA of Apus apus (common swift), 1132 nucleotides long. RefSeq lists it as uncharacterized. The transcript is spliced from 5 exons. The record is from RefSeq and is a predicted model, not a curated record. NCBI's taxonomy places the organism in Eukaryota, Metazoa, Chordata, Aves, Apodiformes, Apodidae.
GUGGUGGUGGGAGGCCACGUCUCCGUCGUCUCGGCGCCGGCCACCAAGGGCAGAGCAGGUACCACUGCGGGAAGAGCCAGGACAGCCCAGGUUGGAUGGCCUCAUCCUCACCCCUGGGCAGGUGAUGGAGCAAGCCCUGCUGGAAACCAGUUCCUGAGACACGAAGGAUGAUGGGAGAGGACAGAGUGGAUUUGCAAAAGGCUUUUUUUUUUUGCCAAAUGCAAAGCCGGGAGGGAUGUGACAGACCCCUUGUGGAGGGAUGCUGCUCUUUGGUCUCAGCCCCGCUCAGGAGCCUCCUGGUCCGUUGGUGCUGAUGAAGGGCUGAGGAGGACAUGCAGAGCCCCGGCGGGGCUGCUGAGCGCGGCGAGGAGCAGCAGCGACUGAGGGUGACCCAGAUAUCUGCGAGAAGAAAUGAGAGUUUCCAGUCUGAGUCAGUCCAUGGGGAAACCCAGCAGCCCUUAAAGGAGCAGCCCCGGGCUGGGGAUCACGUCGGAAGGCAGCAGAGGCUCCGUCAGCCGAGGAGCGUUUUUCUCCCGGUGCCAGAGAGUGACAAAAACAACUCCUUGAGAACAGAGCUUGUGCUCCCCGUGGGUGCUGGUGCUGGUGCCCAGCUCAUCCCGGGAUGCUGCGGUUCCCUGGGAUGGGGGAGCAGAAGGGGCUGAGGCUGCCCCGCUGCAACCCGUCCCACCCCCGCUCCCAAACCCUCCUUCCCUUCUCACGUCGGGUGAAGAGUUAACCUCAAGCACAGUGUUAACCUCACCAGACCACAGGAAAUACCGCACCGGAGGCAAUGGGACCAGAAUUUUGCUCCCCUCCCGGGACAGGGAAGCCCCUUCCCUUGCCAGUGGCUGCUCUGGCUUUUGCCGGCUCCACAGCAAUUUUUUUUCGGGGGGAAAGGGAAGGAGGGGUGAAAGCAAGAGCAUGACAGCCUGGGGGAGGGGGACAGGGGAGGCCUCGCUGGGUGCUUGCUCAAUAACGUAUACAGUCCCAUAUAUAACACAUCUGUGUGUAUGGUUAUACACCGGGGGGGGGGAACUUGGGGGGAAUGGAAGUUUUGGGGUGUUAGAGGUGUCUUCCAUGCCCUGUGUAGUGGAAGUAUUUGUAUUAAUGGAUCAAAAAGCAUUUUCAGGGG